CCCAUCCCCCCUUUCCCUCCCUGACAGCCCCCGCCUCCCAGCCUCUCAGCAGCCCCAGCUCUGCUUGCCCUCCCACCAUACAACCUCCCACCCAGGAGGUUGAGGCUGUAGUGAACCGUGAUUGCACCAGGGUACUUCAUCCUGGGCAACAGAGUGAGACCCUGCCCAAAGAGAAAAUAAGAACUUCACAGGGGGAGGUCCACAUGCAUAGAUUGGGGAGUUCCUGCUCCCUGGUGUCGCACAACACGCCAUUCUACCCUUCCUAGACAGGCCUGGGCUGAUGCGGACCAUGAGGUGUAUCAUCCUGCACUGUGCACUGUGACUAGCAGGGGGCGCUGAAACCGCAUUUUCUGCGCCACAUGGUGCGCAUGCGUGUUCUCACCGCAGAGGCUUCGUGGCGUGCGUGGCGUGGCGUCCAUAAUGGGAAGAUGGAGAACGGCUCCCCUUCCUUCCGGACCCGCCUGAGGGCGCACUGCGGCGGCGUGGGGAUGACUUGGAGACUCGUCUCGGGGAGGAAACCGCUUCUGUCUGUGGCCCUGACUGCUUAGGCGGGAGCUGCGUGCGCUCAGCUUUUCCAGGGCACUUUUUUCUACACGGUCACUCUCACCCAAGCUGGAGCACAGUGGCACAUCACAGGCCCAUGUAGAUUGGAAUAUUGGCUACCUACAGCUUUGCAAUGCAAUUUGAUAUCAGUAAUUAGACGGGGCUUCACCAUGUUGACCAGACUGGUCUCAAACUCCUGACCUCAAGUGGUCAACCUGCUGUGGCUUUCCAAAAUGUUGGGAUUACAGGCGUGAGCCACCAUGCCCAGCCUUUUGAGAAAUCUAUUGACUGUGCAGCCAUGUUGUGGGAAAGAGAAAAUGCCCUGAAUUUGGAUGGCUGAAAAUUAUUCCAUUGUGCCUGUGUCCUGAAGAUUCUUCAUCCCUUCAUCUGUGGAUGCACAGGUGCAACCGUGUGGUUCCCCACGAUAUGAUUUCGUUGUGCUUUCCUGUGUGAAGAGUAUCCCAGUGUGUACAUGUGGAACAGCUUCUUUCUCCCUUCAUCUGUGGAUAAGCAGGUUUCUGUACGGUGCUGCGGAUGACAUGGUUUCAUGAAUUUCUCUGGCCGAAGAGGAUGCCGUUGUGUACCGCAGUUUUUUAUCCCUUUAUCUGUGCAUGAACAGGUAGGGAAAGUCCUUAUAAACCGAGACUCAGUGUCCAGCCUGCACCGUCCCCUGUGGCUAAUCAUGACUGUCAAAGCUUGAAAACAACCAAUGUGUCCUUCAAUAAGCAAGUGGAUCCACAAGCCUUGGUAACCCAUAAAAUGAAGUAUUAUUCUACAGUAAGAAGGAGGUACCGGGGCACAAAAUAAUAUGCAGAAAGGUUACAUGCAUAUUGCUAAAUGACAGAAGCCGAUCUGAAAAGAUGGAAAUUUUAUGGUGGUAGUGGUGGGGAGGGCAGGAUCCUUGGGAACCAGUACCUGCCUGGAGUCCACAUGACUCCCACAUUUACCAGAGGGUGCUGUGGACUAAGCACCUGCUUAGGGCUCCUCAGCUGAGAGCCCCCUUUGUCUUGCGUCAUGAAGGUGUUUCUGUGCCCUCUCCGGGGUGAAAGUCUUUCUUCUUCUAUAGUUUUUCUUUUUCUCAGCUGUAGUUCAGACUGAGGUCAAAGGAGGGGUUUGCACAGCCUCCAGAAAUGCGGAAGAUUUGCAUGGAGUCCUCCCACCCUGAGGAUCAGUGUCAUGGAUCAGAGGUGAUGUUGAGCUCAGUCCUGGCUACGGGCUCAGGCAGCAGAGCCUGGGGCAUCUCCACUGUGGCCUGGGCUCCAUGCAUCCUCACUUUCCUCACUCAUUGCACAGGUGGCUGCCUGCAGAGAAUUCAAGGGAGGCUCCUGGAUGUCCCCUGCGAUGAUGACCUCUCCCUCCUCUCAGCAGACCUGAUCUGUCUUCAGUGUUCUCUGUAUUGUUCCCUUCUUGCAGGGUCUUGGUAGGAGGAUGUGUUCACUCAGUUCCAGUCUGUGUCAGGGUCUCUGGGACAAAAGAACACUAUCUUUGGCACCUGGAGCAGUGGUAGCAUCGAGAGCAAAUAUGUGCAUUGGUGCAUUGGUGCCAUCAGCGCCUGGGCAGUGCCCCCACCACCAUAAUCUACAAUGAUAACAAAAGACCCUUCCAUGUUAUGCAUUGGUUCUCUGGCUCCAGCAGCUCCAUCCAACUCUGCCUCCCUGACCAUCUCUGGGCCGCAGUCUGAGGAUGAGGUCAACUACUCCUGUCAUUCUUAUGAUAGCAGCAGUAAUCACACAGUUCUCCAGACCCAUGGGGAAGUGAUACAGAAACUCCCCAGAGUGACCCCACCUCAGCUCAGCUCUCAGCCUGUCCCCAUCAGCUCUCUCCAAUUUCCUGCCUGAAUGCUGGAGUUGGACUUGUCUACUCAUGACUUCCCCAAUUUUCUCUCCAAAAGUACCAAAUCUCUCCCUCUGUAUCUUUAUGAGUUAUCUUCUCAUACAUUUACUGUCAAGCCUCUCCUCUUCUCCGGGUACAAGUCAAACAACAUGGCCUCCCUCACCACUUCUGGGCUGAAGCCUGGGGACUGUGCUGAUUUUUACUGUUUAUCACAGGACGGGAACCUUGAGGACUGCAUUGUGUGGGGGCUAAUGGGGAAAUGAGAUACAAACCUGUGAGCUCCUCCAACCUAUUCACUGCACUGAGGAAUCAUCCAGUGGACCUCUCAGAAGACAUGGUGUGGGCUCCUUGUGGACACUAUUGAAUGUUUGAAGGGGCUCUUAACUAAAGGACCUUUUUAAAGUUGGGAGUACUAACAAUGCUCCACAAAUUCAAUGAAGACUGUUUAGAAUUACUCAUUCAACUAAUAUUGACAUGCAGCCCAAUUCUAAAGUGUUUUAGGAUCUGUUUAAUGAUAAACAUUACACAGAUUGUUAAUAGUAAAUAUCAUAAAGAACAGAGAGUCUAGAUGUGUUUACUUAACCUCUCAUUUCAUUUCAUAGAGAAACUGCUGAAAAGAAGGACGCCUGGAGUAGCUAAAAGAUGGUUCGCUUAUUCAUCUUUUUUGCUAACGAUCUUUCAAUUCCACGUAGUGAUCAAUUAAGGGGACUGUGCACUAUUACAGUGUGCAUUGACCCCUUGCUGUCAUUUCUAGCACAGGAACAGCAAUGCCACAACACAACUUCCUUCUGUGGUUUUCCAAAGGCCAACUUUCUCAAUGCUGCCGCUAGAGCUCCGUCCCCUCCUGUUUCUGCCACUCACCAUAAUCAGGUGUGUGAGGAGAAUUAAAGUCUGUCAUGGGGACACCUAUGGAGUUUUCUCCCCAGACAGCAUUUGUGAGGGGAAAGCUUUAGGUCACAGAUGCCUGACCUUAGAGGCCUAAUAAGAGAUCUAAUAUGAUAUCUUUAGUAUUAAUGGAGGUGAGCUAUAAGGAGGAAUGAUGAUAGAAUAUGCCAGGUGUUGGUAAUAGCAUUUGCCAAGAAUAGGUACAAAACAGCUGCUCAUUUAACUAAUUAAUAUGACUUGUGUUUGGCUUGGGUAUGGCAGAUCUCAGUGGGGACAGGAUCAGGGGAAGUGAUUCUAGAUGCAUCCAGAUGACAGAAAGGUGUCACGGAAACAGAUCACGAAGAGAAGAGAUCCUGAGAAGUGUGCACAUGAUCACAGAGGCCACAUGGAGUCACUGAAUUAUCCUUAGCUGGUAUUGAUGAGCUCUUCAGGUGCAGAAUGGAGGAUGGAUUGCAAGGUAAACUGAGGCAACACCAGAGACAGGCAGACUACUUAUGUUUCAGAGGAAAUAAUUCAGGAUGAGAUGGUGGUGUCUUUUUAUAGAUUCGUAAGUGAAAAAAAGUAAAAGGAGCAAUUUUAGAUACAAAAUGAAAAAGUAAUUGGUAAAACAAAUGAGUGAGAUUGAGAGGCUAUUGGGGGUCCGAAAAAAAUAAACAUCUAAGAUGAGCACCACAUGUCUGGUUGGGGCUUUGGAAGGAUUCUUAUCCACCAUCUAAAAGAUGGGCCUUGGGGUCAUAGAUUUAUGACAAAAUAUAUGCCACUUAUGUUUGUGAUUUCCUCAGCAUUCCACAUUGGUUGUGUGCUGAUUUUUACUAUUUAGCACAGGAUGGGAACCUUGAGGACUGCAUUGUGUGGAAGCCCACAGGGAAACAAGAUACAAACCUGUGAGCUUCCUCCAACCUAUUCAGUGUACUGAGGAACGGUCCAAUGGACCUGUAGGAAGACAUGGUGUGGGCUCCUUGUGGACAUUAUCGGAUGUUGGGGAGGAAAGGUAAUUUUGGAGAGCUCCUUCAGGGUAAAAGAUGAAAAAA
Long non-coding RNA from Piliocolobus tephrosceles (Ugandan red Colobus), 4292 nucleotides. RefSeq lists it as uncharacterized. The transcript has 7 exons. Lineage: Eukaryota; Metazoa; Chordata; Mammalia; Primates; Cercopithecidae. The record is from RefSeq and is a predicted model, not a curated record.